This 484-nucleotide ribosomal RNA is filed under the name uncultured bacterium. RNAcentral describes it as "partial 16S ribosomal RNA". It matches the Rfam family "Bacterial small subunit ribosomal RNA", at positions 30 to 507 of the family's 1533-position model. The record is from RNAcentral.
AUUGAACGCUGGCGGCAGGCCUAACACAUGCGAGUCGAGCGGAUGAAGGGAGCUUGCUCCUGGAUUCAGCGGCGGACGGGUGAGUAAUGCCUAGGAAUCUGCCUGGUAGUGGGGGAUAACGUCCGGAAACGGGCGCUAAUACCGCAUACGUCCUGAGGGAGAAAGUGGGGGAUCUUCGGACCUCACGCUAUCAGAUGAGCCUAGGUCGGAUUAGCUAGUUGGUGGGGUAAAGGCCUACCAAGGCGACGAUCCGUAACUGGUCUGAGAGGAUGAUCAGUCACACUGGAACUGAGACACGGUCCAGACUCCUACGGGAGGCAGCAGUGGGGAAUAUUGGACAAUGGGAGAAAGCCUGAUCCAGCCAUGCCGCGUGUGUGAAGAAGGUCUUCGGAUUGUAAAGCACUUUAAGUUGGGAGGAAGGGCAGUAAGUUAAUACCUUGCUGUUUUGACGUUACCAACAGAAUAAGCACCGGCUAACUUCGUG